Molecule: long non-coding RNA, 3113 nt
Filed under: Zalophus californianus (California sea lion)
Lineage: Eukaryota; Metazoa; Chordata; Mammalia; Carnivora; Otariidae
Description: lncRNA (ENSZCAG00015023260.1)
Source: RNAcentral
AUGGGUCUGGAGGAGGCUCUGAUCCGGUUCCGGUCUCUCCGUGUGCAGGACGUCCUUUGGGCCCUGUGGGUCUGUCCGUGUCCCCCGUCCGCACUGCCCAGCCAGGAGGGCAUGGCCCGGCGGUUUCCCAGGCCCCUCGGCUUCCGCGGAGCCGGGGAGCUGUCCCAUUCCGGCAACGCCCAUUGCCCUCUGCGCCUUCUCGCCGCCCACAAGCCUGCUUCUUCCCUGCUCUGUCCAGCCCACGGUCCUUUACCCAGGCCAUUCCCUUGCGAGCCCCCUGCUACCUCUCCCUCCUUCCCACCUGAUGAAACUCCAUCAGUCCACCUACACCCAGGGCCUGAAGACACCUUGACCAGCCACGGACGUCGGCGUAAUUUGCAGAAAAGUGUGGUCUCCAACGUCUCCUGGACCCUUAACCCUACGCAGAAAUCCUUCCACUCCCCCUCCCCCCCCCUCGCCCGUUUAGUUCUGUCUCCUCUCUCCUCCGUGGUUAUUUCAAACCUUUACCUCUCUCCUGAAACCUCUCCCCUCUCCCCUAACCCUCGUCCCACGCAGAAGAAUUCUCACCUCCCUCUUCAGAGAGAAAGGAGAAGCCAUCCUACGGAAGCCUUGUUAGUGUUCUGCCAUCAGACCACACGUUUGCCUGCUUUCCUCCUUGCCUCCUGCUCGAAUGGGAGGGGACACGUCCUCUAACUCUGUCCAACUGACUCUGUCCAAGACCUACUGCUCCUCCAGACGGCCCCGAAGCCAGUUCCCUGCCACAGGGCCACACACAUACACUCCAGACCUUUGCUCCAGCUGUUCCUGAUGCCUGGAAGAUUCUUCUGCAACCUCCCCAAACUCUGCCUCCUCCCUUCCUUUGCCUAAUGCCCAUCCCAACUUGAUGGAUGAAGACUUUCUUCCAAAAUGAAAUUAAGAUAGCUUCAGAAGGAGCCUUUACUGGACUAUUAUUGUCUGCCAGGCACGGUUCUAGACUCUUGGAAUGUGCAGAUGCAUAAUUUUGUGACUAUAUUAUUGGAAGAUAAUGUUAGUAGACAUCCAAGAACCAAAUUAUCAGAGGAAAGAAUUGGGAUUCAUUACCUAGCAUUGCGGCCAGAUAUCUGUUAUCUUUUGUAUCCCGGACACAUGGACACAGGAUUGCGAUAGGGCAUAACUCUGGCCGUGGGACAAGAUGUUCACAGUUUGGUUGAGGAGGCGUGUCACACGCCCCUAAAGAGUUACAAAGGAGAUUGUUUUCAAUAAGUUCGAGCCAAGAACAGAAGAGCGGGUGUAGGCUGGACGUGGUUAUGUGCCACGUGACUGACACUGAUAGGAAGGUCUUCGGGCCCCGGGAGGAGGGGACCAUUUCGGCAGCAAUGUUUCUUCCUGUGUCAGUGAAGCUGCACCUGACCUGUGGGAGCUGCUGGUGGGCACGCCCCCUGCUAGGGUCACCCCCUGACCCGCCCUGGGCAUCCAGGGUGGCAUCUGAGGCCCCAAGAGGGUGCAGGAGGUGAUGGUUUUAGGAGCUGUUGGCUUUGCAGCUCUGUGCUGGUGGUGGCUUAUUUCCUGUAAAUGAUUCUGUCAGAAAUAUCUAAGCAAUGCUCUUCAGGCCUUCAACGCCCACCCAAAAAAGAUUAAAGUAGAUUCUUCAUCAGCUAUUUUAAUAGCACCUAAGAAUUAUGCAAUCUUUUGGAAAAUCAAAUUGGCUUCUCCCCCUGCCCCCCUCGCUGUGUGUGUGUGUGUGUGUGUGUAUGUGUGUGUCCCCACAUGGGCAUGCACUGAAAUGGUGCUUAUGCCUAGGGUCUGUUUAAUAUUCAGCAGCAGGUGCCCUUUGCUCCCUGGUGUCAUGUAAUGUGCAGUGCUGGGGUGGGGGGCGGAGGGCGGCGGGGAGGCUGGAGGGAAGGAGCCAACCAGCCAAUUGCUGUGCCUUCCUGCUCUUUAAAGAGAGAGCUGACUUUGCUACGUUUGUCUCCCCUCUUUCUUUAAAGAGCAUGUCUUCAAAGGAUGAACCCUAUAAUGCCCCGUCUCUGGCACACGUGCAAAAUGGAUUCUCAGUAAACAUGGCCAGAGGCGCCUGCCUUGCCAGGUUAAAUGUGGACUCACCCUCCUUUCCAGCCAUGUUUCCCUUACUCCCUGGCUUUCUCCAUGGGUUCCAGCCAACUUGGUCCCCAAAUGGGCCUUCAGUCUUUUCAUCUCCAGGGUCUUUGCUCAUGCCCACCCCACCCUGCUUCCUUCCUUGAAGUCAAUCCAAAUUUACUGAGCCUUCAAGGCCGCUGUUAAAAAGUCACCUCUUUCAUGGAGGCCUUUCCUGACCACCUCCUCCCCACCCCCCAAGCCUCAUGGGCUUUUGCUGAUCCCUUUUGGUCCAGUGGAACAUGCCCAAGAUGGCACCAUGCACCCUCACCAGGUCAGUUCCUCUGAUCUUCAGGGCUGUCUUCCCAGAAAGGCAUCAUUGGCCUCCUUUGCCCCAAAAAACCAGCUGACCCUCAGGGUCCCUCAAGUUCUUGAGGGGCAGAGCAGUUCCAGAACCCCAAUCUGGCUGAUUCCACCCCGUACUCCAGAGCCCACCCCCACGCCGGCAUUCCCACAUGGCACCUUUACCUGUACCCGCCUAUUGUGCUGGUUGUGAGGUGGUAGGCAUGGCCCCUGGAGUCCAAGCUUGAGUUCGAAUCCCGGCUCCACUACUUGCUGGCUGCAGACCUUGGGUAGCUAAUUGCACUUCCCUGCCCCUUGCUUUCUACCUCUAUAGAAUGUAGGUGGUUAAUAAUGGGAGUGUGGGGGGCGCCUGGGUGACUCAGUCGUCAAGCAUCUGCCUUCGGCUCAGGUCAUGAUCCCAGGACCAGCCCCGCACCGGGCUCCCUGCUCGGCGGGAAGCCUGCUUCUCCCUCUCCCACUCCCCCUGCUUGUGUUCCCUCUGUCACUGUGUCUCUCUCUGUCAAAUAAAUAAAUAAAAAUCUUUAAAAAAAAAUUAAAAAUAAAGGUCUUAGCACAGUGCCAGGCACGUGGUAAAUGCUUGGUGAGGGUUAGUGUUCAUUAUCAUGUUGGUUUCCUCCUCCCGUGUGCCUUUCCUCCAGCUCCUCCUGAGCUCCUCUAGGCUAGGAACUUGCCUGUGUCUGAGUCCCUUGCUUUGCCCA